AGAGUUUGAUCAUGGCUCAGAACGAACGCUGGCGGCGUGGAUAAGACAUGCAAGUCGAGCGAGAUUUUUUCUUGUAGCAAUACAGGGAAAAGUCUAGCGGCGAACGGGUGCUUAACACGUGGGCAACCUGCCGUGAAGUGGGGGAUAGCUCGCCGAAAGGCGAAUUAAUACCGCAUGUGAUUAGAGAGGACAUCCUUUCGAAAUUAAAGUCGGGGCAACCUGACGCUUCUUGUGGGGCCCGCGGCCUAUCAGCUAGUUGGUGAGGUAACGGCUCACCAAGGCUUUGACGGGUAGCUGGUCUGAGAGGACGACCAGCCACACUGGGACUGAGACACGGCCCAGACACCUACGGGUGGCAGCAGUCGAGAAUUUUUGACAAUGGGGGAAACCCUGAUCGAGCGACGCCGCGUGGAGGAUGAAGGUCUUCGGAUUGUAAACUCCUGUCAUUGGGGAACAAGGUGCAUACGUUAACUGCGUGUGUAUUGAUAGUACCCGAAGAGGAAGAGACGGCUAACUCUGUGCCAGCAGCCGCGGUA
This 536-nucleotide ribosomal RNA is filed under the name uncultured Verrucomicrobiota bacterium. Its description in RNAcentral is "bacterial SSU rRNA". It matches the Rfam family "Bacterial small subunit ribosomal RNA", at positions 8 to 522 of the family's 1533-position model. Lineage: Bacteria; Pseudomonadati; Verrucomicrobiota. The record is from RNAcentral.